AUAAAUAUGAAGGGUUGAGUUUCCAAGGGGUGUGUCGCUUGGGAAUUAUAUGUCGUACCCUUUGGAUUGAUCACAAAUACAAUAAUUUGUAACAGAUGCAUUCAGGAACUGAGGAGCGGACGUCGCAGCCAAGUGGGACGCCACGCCAUAUGCCCGUGCGGCCAUGCCAACGUGCUGCGCGGUGCCCCGGCGGGCCGCGCCUCGGCACGCGUCCACUCCAGUGAGCACGGCAGACGCGACGCCUGGCAAGCAGAGGAAGCAGUAGACGGUAGACCACUACUCAACUAGUAGAGCUUCAAGACUUGCUCGUGCAACAGGUAAUCCAAACGUUUGUUUGCAUGCACACCGAGGCGCUAGAUUCGGACCGACAACACGAGGCCGGGCCGAUCCACAUGACGAGGGUGUCGGCUUAGACACAGCUCAUGUGGAUGAUUUUAUUGACCCCAUGAGACGGUAGGCAACUUAACAUAUCACAACUUGGAUGGGAAUUCAGUUCACUCUUCCAUAUGCGCCUGUUGUUCCAAAAACAUCCAGGCAGAAGUUCUGGGAGCUAUUUUAUGGAGGAUUUAGGAGAAUAAGAAUAAUCAUGUCUUUAGAGGAGAGGAGUCUGAUGUUCAUAUAAUUCUUGCAAUGGUACUUAGUGAUAUAAACAUACGGCGCCAUCGUUUCCCCCGAAUGCGCGAGGG
RNAcentral lists this long non-coding RNA (686 nucleotides) under Zea mays. RNAcentral describes it as "long non-coding RNA NONZMAT002594". Lineage: Eukaryota; Viridiplantae; Streptophyta; Magnoliopsida; Poales; Poaceae. The record is from RNAcentral.